This 274-nucleotide ribosomal RNA is filed under the name uncultured bacterium. RNAcentral describes it as "partial 16S ribosomal RNA". It matches the Rfam family "Bacterial small subunit ribosomal RNA", at positions 523 to 796 of the family's 1533-position model. The record is from RNAcentral.
AUACGGAGGGUGCGAACGUUAAUCGGAAUUACUGGGCGUAAAGCGCGCGUAGGCGGUUCGGUAAGUGGGAUGUGAAAGCCCCGGGCUCAACCUGGGAAUUGCAUUCCAAACUGCCGGACUAGAGUAUGGUAGAGGGAGGUAGAAUUUCCUGUGUAGCGGUGAAAUGCGUAGAUAUAGGAAGGAAUACCGGUGGCGAAGGCGGCCUCCUGGACCAAUACUGACGCUGAGGUGCGAAAGCGUGGGGAGCAAACAGGAUUAGAAACCCCGGUAGUCC